AUUCUGUGAUGAGGGCACUUCCGUAAUAAUUCUUUGUACCUUUCCCAUGCCGCAUACAAUGAUUCAUCAUCCAUUUGUUGGAAAGUAGUGAUCCCGUUCCUCAACUU
Molecule: small nucleolar RNA, 107 nt
Filed under: Gossypium hirsutum (cotton)
Lineage: Eukaryota; Viridiplantae; Streptophyta; Magnoliopsida; Malvales; Malvaceae
Description: Plant small nucleolar RNA R71
Rfam family: Plant small nucleolar RNA R71
About the family: R71 is a member of the C/D box family of snoRNAs containing the C (UGAUGA) and D (CUGA) box motifs. Multiple nearly identical copies of this snoRNA have been identified in Arabidopsis, and it is thought to function as a 2'-O-ribose methylation guide for 18S ribosomal RNA.
Source: Rfam by way of RNAcentral